RNAcentral lists this unclassified non-coding RNA (200 nucleotides) under soil metagenome. RNAcentral's name for it is "partial contains internal transcribed spacer 2 and large subunit ribosomal RNA". The record is from RNAcentral.
UGUUCGAGCGUCAUUUCACCACUCAAGCCUCGCUUGUUAUUGGGCGCCGCGGUCCGCUGCGCGCCCUAAUGUCUCCGGCUGAGCCGUCCGUCUCAAAGCGUUGUGGCAACUCAAUCCGCUACUGGGACCGGGCGACCCGGCCGUUAAAUACCCCACUCAAGGUUGACCUCGGAUCAGGUAGGGAUACCCGCUGAACUUAA